Long non-coding RNA from Selaginella moellendorffii, 698 nucleotides. RefSeq lists it as uncharacterized. The transcript is spliced from 2 exons. The record is from RefSeq and is a predicted model, not a curated record. NCBI's taxonomy places the organism in Eukaryota, Viridiplantae, Streptophyta, Lycopodiopsida, Selaginellales, Selaginellaceae.
UUGGCGUCGUCCUCACGAUUGUGUCGACAAUUGGAAGCAUCGUAAAUCUCAAACACGGGCUUCGAAGAGGAAAACCUCAAAGUAUUCUACUUCCGCGAUUGCAGCAGUGCAAUUCGACCUCAACAAACGCAAGCUGUCCCGUGCGGCAUUGAAUUCCCCUUCGCUCCCAGAUUCAGCUAGCCAUGGGUACAGCGCUCUACAAUGACAAAGUCUCCGCUACGAGAACAGUUUCAACUUGGGCGAUCCGGCGGGGAUCCGAACGGGGCGAUCCGUUCUACAGGGCGCUGGAGAAAAUGCGGCUGCUCAAGUCGACUGUGCUGGAGGUCUUCCGCUGUGAUGCGCCCGUGCUCUACCAGUACGGAUGCGCCCGGGAGGAUAUGGCGGCGAUGCGAAGUUUGUGAUCAACAAGGGACAGCUCUUGGGUGGAUCGCAGGCGCUGGUUUGCCAAGAUCCAAAGGUGUUUGAGGAGCCGGAUCAGUUGAUCCCUGACAGGUUUGUAGGGAAGGAGGAGCUCGAGGCGUGUGUUUUGGGCCAUGGAAAGUCGCCCACCGCGGAUGACAAGCAGUGUGCUGGAUUUCGUGGAGACAAUCGCCAAAGUCUACCUGGUACAGUUGUUUGUGAGAUACAAGACUUUUGUGAGUGAGGACUCCACUCUCAUACACUCCGUUUCCAUGAAUUAGUAAAACAUAUUUGCUUUA